Molecule: non-coding RNA, 13139 nt
Organism: Rattus norvegicus (Norway rat)
Lineage: Eukaryota; Metazoa; Chordata; Mammalia; Rodentia; Muridae
Source: RefSeq, a predicted model, not a curated record
UGCCUUGCCCACCUGAGGCCCUGGGUUCCAUUCCAGAGUCACGGAUAAAAUGCAAAAAGUGGGGCUAGGAGCUAGCCCAGCAGGUGUGAUGCUUGUCCAGCCAGCAUAAGGACUGGGGUGCAGGGGGAUCAUGUGCUUGUCAUCUCCGUUCUGGGGAGGUUGAGGCAGGAGGAUCCCCAGGGCUCCCUUGGCCAGCCCGCCUAGCCAAAUUGGCAAGCUCUAGGCCCAUGAGACCGACAACCUGAGAUACGCCAGCUGAGGUUGACUUCCGGCACCCACGAAUACACAAACAUACAUGUGUACCUGCAUGCACACGGGCAUGUGCGCACGGGCAAAUGUGAAGAAAACCCAAAGCAUCUGCUGGGUUGGGAGCCGUCUGUCACGCAGCCAGCAGUGACUCACAGAGAAGUGAACGGAGCCCAGGAGAACCGUCCACCCCCACCCAUUCUCUGCGCUUGAGGACAGAAGAGGUGGGCCACCUCAGCCUGACCAGGAGAGGGGGCGCACCUGUUGUCGAAGAAGGCACGGACGAUUUUGGAUCGGAUCGGGUUGAGCUCCAGGUCAGGUACAUUGUUAAAGUUCUCCUUGCUGUAUUCCAGGACACACACAGAGAGAAAGCACAAGACGACAGUCAUCAGUGCCAUCUGACACAGGCCAUGAGGUAUCCCUUCAUCCCCGACAGCCCCACCCUCUCCUCAGGCCUCUUGCCUACAGACUGGGCGCCACUGGAGCUUGACACUUAGAGGAAGCUGAGAGGUGGGUGGCACACUCACACUCCUCACACUGCAGAGACGAGAGCUGCAGAGUCUGGAAAGGGGGAAAGUGGAAAGGGGAGCCCUGCAGUGGCUGCACUGGGCUCCCACCAGCAGGAUACAAGCCAGAAGGGCCUUGUUAUGGUUUGUAUGUGCUCGGCCCAGGGAGUGGCACUAUUAGAAGGUGUGGCCCUGUCGUAGGAGGUGUGGCCUUGUUGGAGGAGGUGUGGCCUUAGAGGAGGUGUGGCCCUGUCAGAGGAGGUGUGGCCUUGUUGGAGGAGGUGUGGCCCUGUCGUAGGAGGUGUGGCCUUGUUGGAGGAGGUGUGACUUUGUUGGAGGAGGUGUGGCCCUGUCGUAGGAGGUGUGGCCUUGUUGGAGGAGGUGUGUCAUUGUGAGUGUGGACUUUAAGACCCUCACCCUAGCUGCCUGGAAGCCAGUAUUCUGCUAGCAGCCUUCAGAUGAAGAUGUAGAACUCUCAGCUCCUCCUGCACCAGGCCUGCCUGGACACUGCCAUGCUCCCACCUUGUUGAUAAUGGACUGAACCUCUGAACCUGUAAGCCAGCCCCAACUGAAUGUUGUCCUUUAUAAAACUAACAUUGGUCAUGGUGUCUGCUCACAGCAGUAAAACCCUAAGACAGGCCUCAAGGAAAUGGACUCUCAUGACAUGGUGCCUCCUAGCAUGCACCCAAGAGACUGCAGCACACACAGGCAGUCUCCAUGGGAGCAAGGCUCGUAAGAACUGCAGAAAGGCCAACAGUGCCUGCUCCCAGGUAAAUCAAUAGCUGAACUGAGGACUGUCCACCCAGGGGAACAUUAUACAGCCAGGAAAAGAACUAACUGGACACUGAUACCCACUGCAGGAGGAUGAACCUGAAAACUGACAGUGUUGGAAAGGCAUUGGCAGUGAAAAGUCACAUGACUCUAUUUAAAUGUGUCCAGAACAGGCUGAGCGGCUGAAGCAAAAAGCAGGAGGGGGAUGGCCCAGGGCUCAGGGAGCCAGAAGACAGACACCUAAGGGGACAAGCUUCUCUUAGGUGACAAAUAUUCUGUAUAUUCGCUCUGCAGAGACACUGGCACUGCUGUGCAUUUUUACAAUUGGGCUGUAAGGUGUGUGAGUUUUAAUUCAGAAAAGGCAUUCAUCCUACCAGCAGCUAUGGGUCCCAGCAGAGGGGAUGCAGACACAGUCUCAGCUGCCCAUCCUCGGAGGAGGACCAAAGCCUCCAUUAAGGCUGCCUGCGCCUGUCCUAUAGCAAUGACCUUCUGAGGGACCUCCGUCCUAGUCUGGUACUCCAGGAGACAAAAAUGAAUGCUCAGGAGGGGGAGGGGUUGGCUGAUUUAAAAAAAAAAAGAGGACAUUAGGGAGAGUUGUGACACUGGACUAGACCUGGGCGAGAGCCAGGCGAGUCAAGGCUGUUUGACUUGGGAGGUCUACAAACAGUCCCUUAUCCUGCCCUGGCUGGCUUUACCUCACAGGAGGAGCCUCAGGCUCCAGACUGGAGCAGGACCAGGUGACCGGAUCUCUCCUGUUCCCGAUGCCCCUGGGCGGCUUCCUGCCCUUCCCUCAUGGCUGGACUGGUGGCAUCUAGCCAGACAGGAGCUGGUGACUGGGCAUAGCCAAGUCACAGCUCUACAUUCACCAGAGCCCAGUUUGGAAGGACACAUUUAGGACAGUUGUCCGAGUGUGCUGGGUGCCACCAUGAGAGAGAGGGGUGGGGGAGGGAGAAAGAGAAGCAAAGAGAAGAGAGAAAAAAGCAAGCAAGCUUUGGGACAGGGUGGAGUUGGCACAAGGAAUGGAGUUGUGGGGCUAAUGAGAUGACCAAGAGGGUGAAGACACUUGCUGUGUAAGCCUGGUGACCCGAGUUCAAUUCCCGGAAGUCGAAUAAAUGUGGAAGGAGAGAACCAACUCCACAAGGUUGUUGGAACACACGGUAACAUCUUUAAAAAGGAAUCCAGUCGAGUGGGCAGAGCGGUUCAACCCAAAGUCCCGGGGACUCGAGAAGCCGAGCCCAGGAUUUUGAGGCCAGCCUGGGGAACACAGAGAGUCUCAAAAACAAAGAAAAAAAAAAUAUCCAGGCAAGUGUGGUGGUGCAUGCCUUUAAUCCCAGCACUCAGGAGGCAGAGGCAGGUGGAUCUCUGAGUUUGGGACCAGCCUGGUCUACAGAGUGAGCUCUAGGACAGCCAGGACUAUAUGGAGAAACCAUGUCUCAAAAACAAAGCUAAUAAUAAUAACAACAACAACAUCGUGGUGGUGGUACAUGCCUGGGAUCCUAGAGAAGAGGAGGCUGAGGCUGGAGGAUCAUAAGUUCCAGGCCAUUCCAGACCCACGCAGGCUCUGUCUGACGAGACCCUAACUAGACAAGGACACACUGUGCUACUGAGCAUCCAGAACAUCGAGUUCAGGAUGAAGCGUGCACACACGGAGUCUGGUUUCCAGGGUGAUGCGGGUGGGUGACAGGAGAGGGUUUCUUUCUGGGACACUUAAAGUGGCAGUGCGGUUUUAAUGGCUAGAUUGUUCACGGGUAUGACCUCUUCCCCCAAACUACUAAAAACUCUCCCUCUGGUUUCCUUGCAAUAAGAAGCACAACGCCAUCAUUUCCACAAAGGGAGUUUCCACACAGGAUAACCACUAACAGCCCUUGCAACCGGCAACUAAGAGAACACACGAGCCUCGGGCCAGACACACAGGGCUCUGUCCCACCCCCACACAGUGGCUAGCCCCGUAGCAACCAUAGGAAGAAGCAAGGGAAACCAGAACCCUGGACAGACAGAGCCAAGGUUACCACGGACACCAUCAGAUCAUCGGAAGCCCUCUUCUUUCCUGGCCACUGCUCGGAUGACAGUCACGGUCACAGUAGCUGUGUGAGCUCUGAAGCCCGAAGCUUGUACCUCACCUGAGAGAAGCUUGAUGGGGCUCCUGUGAUCCCUGAAGUAAAUGUGACACGGAGGGCCAGUCACCUGCCCAGGCUCACCCAGCUGUGGCAAAUCACGCUGGAACCCAGGCAGGGCAAAGUCACGUUCAUGCCCCUGGCACCUCCCUCUCCACUCUCCUCCACCUCCACUCUACUAUCCUACCCGCCCCCUCACCUCAGACGCCUUGUUCUGUGAUCCUGGCCCAUGAGAUAGGCGGAAUAGAGAGACUGUGGGUGCUGAGUGGGGCUCAGCCCUCUGCAGCACAUGGUCUAGGGGAAAGGGGGCAUCCCUGCCCCUAGCAUCAGAUGUCCCACUUGUAAGAUAGGGAUUGUGGGAAUACUCAGGACACUGGAAUAAGAAUGUCACACAUGAACACUGAUGGGAACUGGGACGCCAUGGCAGCGUAGACUAAUGACAGAGAUCAUAUUUAUUAGUGAUGGCCUCCCAAGGAGGAAGAACCCACCCCCAGGACAACACCCACUGGGAAGGCACUUAGCCUAUUUUAGACAAACAGGUUGGGAGUCGGAAGAGAAACUGCCCCCUAGCCAGAAUGGUAGCACCUGUUAUCCCAGGUACUUAGGGAGCUGAGGCAGGAGGAUUGUAAAUUUGAAACCAGCCUACAUAGCUUAGCAAGCCCCUGUCUCAAAAGUAGAAAGGGGACUGGGAUGUGGCUCAGUAUAGAGCAUUUGUGGAAAGCCCCAAAAAAGGGAGAGGGAGAGAAGGAGGGAUAACGCUACUGCCCCAAAGGUCUUGGUCUGGAAGCAGUCACUCACAAGAGGAAGGUCUAGCCAUUUGAUACCCAGAGACCUCUGACUUCUGUUGCCCCCUACUCUGACGAAUAGAAGGCAAGUCUUGUGGCCAAUGCUGGGCCAGGCCAAGUGGCGUGACCGCAGGGUCUUAUGCCCGCCACAUCCUUUCUGAGUUUUGUUGCUAGGGCUCAGCUCUAGGAGCAACCAGCCCUUCUCCACCCCGGGCCAUGGCUGCUUGCAGAUCAUUGCCCUUGGGACCAAGUGACCCACUUACCAUCAGGUCAGUGUUGCCACCCUAGUGGCCAGCAAGAAGGGCCACUAGAAAGCCCCAAGAGACAUCCCACCUUCCCUGCCUCCUCCAGGGCAGCUUGAAGCCUGUGGUGAGGGGUGUUUAAGCCAUCUCCCCUAAAUUCUGUCUUCCCCAUGCCAGACCACACACUGUGAGGCUCAAUGAACCUCACACCCACAAAUGGUGACAGCAGCAGUGGGCCCGCUUUCAUAGACAAGAGCCUGAAGCCCAGAGAGGACUAGCCAGUAAGCUGUAGUCACACAGCGGGCUAGCAGAAGGGCUCAGGCACCAGGGAGCCCCGCUCCCUUUCUCCAGGUUGUACCUUUUAGCUUUAGAGAGAGAGAAUUAGAACCCAAAUCCUUCCCAGGUUUACCCUGAACCCCUCUGGGGACUCACAAAGAGGGACAAGCAUUCAGCCCACAAAGGACACACAAAACCAAGAAAACCUCAGAGGGCUGGGCUGGCCCCUUCUGCAAGCGCAGGGCUGUGGGCUAGUUUCCGGUGGCUUCUGAGGCUCAGCUCAGCUGCCAAAGUCACUCUGUCAGGCCUCAGAGCAGAACUUACGGUGAGCCCUGUGUCACACACUGCCUGACUCUGGUUUCUGAGGGGCCGUCCUGAAAGGCUGUUGUGGUCUCUCCUCUUCACGUGCACAGCUCUGCCAAGUCCUCCCAGCACCCAGGGUUGGCCUCUUUGGGACUCUUUAGGGAAGGAACCAGGUCUCACAGAACAAAUGUCUUCCUAGACAGUGCUCGACACAGGCCUGGAGGAUGGGAGAGGACCAUGAGGGCGACAGCUGAGUGAGAUGGACAGAGGGACAGGAGGACAGGAGGACAGGACAGCAACCCCAGACUCGAGAGUCGAGCACUUUCUGAUAGCCCAGAAGCAAGUGAGAUAGAGAGGACAGGGCAGCUCUGGGUGGGGACAGAGGAGGGAGAGGUCAACAGAAGGGCAGGCCCCAUUCAUUACGACCAAGGAGCAUCUGGGAGGGUUGAGGUCUGACCUUGGGACACCGAGAAGCUGCCAUGUGUCCUAACAUUUGGGCUGAGGCCCUGGUGAGGCACACAGGAAACAUUUCAAGCCACAGCUUCCUCUAGGGAAGUUGAGGGUGAGAACCUCUCUCCUGACAACACAGCCUGAGGCUACUGUCCGCACUACAGCACCACAGAACUCAACUUGUUCACCCUGUUCAUGAUACACACGGGUUGGUUUAGAUGCUUGUGAAGAUUUGUAUAUGCUCGGCCCAGGGAGUGGCACUGUUAGCAGGUGUGGUCCCACUGGAGUAGGCGUGGCCCUAGUAGAGUGGGUGUGGCCCUGUUGGAGUAGGCGGGGUCCUAUUGGAGUGGGUGUGGCCCUGUUGGAGUAGGUGUGUCACUGUGGGUAUGGGCUUUAAGACCCUCAUCCUAGCUGUCUAGGGGCCAGUCUUUUCCUAGCAGCCUUCAGAUGAAGAUGUAGAACUCUCAGCUCCUCCUGCACCAUGCCUGCCUGGAUGCUGCCAUGUUCCCACCUUCAUGAUAAUGGACUGAACCUCUGAACCUGUAAGCCAGCCCUAAUUAAAUGUUGUCCUUAUAAGAGUUGCCUUGGUCAUGGUGUCUGCUCACAGCAGUAAAACCCUAAGACAAUACUAUAGCCUUCUUGGAGAGGCCCUGGACACCUGCUGUGUGAGCACACUCAUGGGUUGAGACCACCAACCAUAGCUAUUGACCAUGCUAAGAGGCAGCGUGCAGCCCACAGCAUGGGAGUUCUUCAGCACCCACUCGCACCUUACCGUUUAACGAUCCCCCUUCCUCUGAUCACUUCUGUGCAGAUGGGACCUCUCAGGCAUUCCUUUCCCCCACAGGAUGACUCCACCCUCCAAACACAAUCACCAGCCUCUGUUGCCCAUCUCAGGCAGGGCACAAUAACCUGGCCCAUUUGACAAGUACCUGGGGACCAAUGGUACACAUCUGAGGCUUAAUGCGCAGAUCCAAGCCCAAAGAAAUGGCCUGCUUUACACGGAAGGCUGGCUCUAAGAAAUGGGGUGGGGUGGGUGCUGGCCCAAAGCCACACAGCCAACGGCUUGAGGUUCAUGAAGUUUGUCUCUCAGGCUUUUCGCUUGCACCUCAAGUCCAAAGAGAAGGAAUCUGACCCAAAGCCAGGUAAGACUGAGUCUGACUCCAGAAUCUACGCCUCCACAGUGCGGCCUUCACAGUGCAUAAGGCAAACAGUUUGUUUCUGGCUGCUGGCCAUGACACCUGAGCCCAUGAGAGCCAGUAAGAAGCCAGGCAACUUCGAGAGGUGCCCAAGCUUUUUCCUUUGGCCUUCAAGGGUAGGACGGCUGGCUCUGCACAGAUCGAUCCUGUUUUUGAUAGUGUGUGAGGCAAAUGGAGACGGGGAAACUUUCCGGGUGAUGCUCUAGUUAACAGUGUGCCUUUGUGUAGGACCCGAGGAAACGUGUGUGUGAACAUGGUUCCCUCAAAGGGCAGAACGAAGCCGGCCUGUAAAGAAGGAAGCUUUCUUGCAGUCUGUACAAGGUUUGCAACUGUGUUACAGUGAGAGGUCACCUAGAGACCCCGUGUGGGUUUGAGGACACUGCUGUCUGCUAGAAAGUGUGUGACAGGAGUCUUUCUGCUUUGCAGGCUCCCACCUGCCAUUUCAACUGCUCAGCAGGUAGGGCCAUGACAAGUGAGCCCAAGGCUAGCCUGGGCUAAAGAGUGAGUCCAAGGCCAGCCUGGGCAACGUAGUGUGGUACACUCAAGGGAAAAAGGCAAGAUACCUGCCUAGCAUAUAUGCGGUCACAUUUAACCCCAGUACCAAAAAAAAAAAAAAAAAAAAAAGUAAACAUGAGACCCAGAGAAGAAAAUUAUCUACUUCCCUAACAGGAAGUUGACCCCUCCUUGUUGACAGGCUCGACUUGCCCAAGGCUGGAAUGACCCAGAGGAAGUAAAGUCUAAAGAUAGGCCCAUCAGAGUGACACCAGCAUCCCGCACAGAGCUCUUAUCAGUUGACCCUCAACCUCCCAGCAUCAGGGAGGAUCCAGCAGGCGCUCAAUGUGGGGGGAAUUUCAGGACAAGUCCAGAUCACACACAUGACAUAAAGAGGUUGGGGCAGGGCCGGGCGGCUGGUUGUCUCUUCCCUGGCUAUCCCUGCAGGUGUCUGUUCCUGUAAAACUAGAUAGGGCCCCUUCCUCCCUCCACCUCUUGUCUUACCAGACAAGACCCAGGAGAAUUCAAACAACAGGUUUGCUUCAGAAACUGGGACAGACUUUGGAGCCGGCCCAGAGCCACACAUACCCAGGUGAUACCUAGCAAAGGUUGGUUCAACCCAUGGGCUAAGAACUGCCGUUCUAGAAGAGGCAGACACCGGAGACCUAACGGUCCUCAUCUUGGAGCCUCCCUUCCUUCCACCCCAGGUCUUAGACUACUCAAGAACUCAUCCCAGAGUUCUCAAGCUGCCCCAGCAGCUGCAGCUCACCAGGGAAGACGACAGAAUCCUGCCAGUGUGGGCCAGGCAUCUCUCCAGGGAUUACCUCAUCUGUCUCACACAGCACAGGCAUCAGGGAUGCGCCCCCACACGAUACAUGUCAUCACCAAUGAUCAGAAAGGCUAAGCAACAUUCAGGACAAUUUCUCCUUUCUGGAGAAAAAUGUAACCAUGUGUAUCACUCACAAGAGAGCAAGCAAACUGAUCAGGGUCCUCCAGCCAGUGAGCACCUAACAGAGGGGAGGAUGGACACAGGAUGCUUGUGGCUGUGCUGUGGAAAGUGUCAUAAACUGUAAACCACCCCGAUGCCCAGCCACAGUAAACAACUGAAGUACAAAAGGUUUCUGAACCUAGCGGAUGGCACUGUAUUUGGUAAUGAAACUGGUGCCAGAUGUGAUGUGGAACCAAUGAAAACUGGACAUGAAAGGGCAUGGGUUUAUGUUUCUACCCGAGCAAAACUCAUAUUAGGGAAACCCUUGCCUAUGGGGUUAGGAGUCAGGGCAGUGUCUGCCCCAGGGCACAGAGUACUGUGAUUGAGUGUGAGGGACCUUGGGAGCAGAGAAUAUUCUAUAUCUUGAUAUGGGUAUGAGUGACUCAGGGGUCUCCUUGGAUGAGUAUGGGGCUGAAGAGAUGGCUCAGUGGUUAAGAGCGCUGACUGCUCUUCCAUAAGUCCUGAGUUCAAUUCCCAGCAACCACAUGGUGGCUCAUAACCAUCUGUAAUGAAAUCUGAUACCCUCUUUUGGUGUGUCUGAAGACAGCUACAGUGUGCUCAUAUACAUGAAAAUAAAUCUUUUUUUUAAAAAAAGGUGACACUUUUUUUGACAGGGUCCGAUUUCUCCCAAGAUAGCUUUAAACUUACUAUUGUAGCAAGAGAUGACGACAAAGUCCCUGAUCCCCCUGCCUCCACUUCCUGAGCACGGGGAUUACAAGUGUGUGCCACCACGUCCAAAUUUAAUAGGAGCUGGGGCCCAAACCCAAUGCUCUGUGUGUUUUCUGAUGCCCAUGAGUCAAUCAAAACCUUAAUCCAUCCAGAACUCCCCUGCGGAGGGAGGUGUGGGUCCCGAAAGUGAGACUCCCAACAAGUAUGGAGCAUGCGCAUGUGUAUCCCUGCUUCGUCCCAGCAUCCCUGGCAACCCUGCAACCGUUCUGGCCCAAACGCUUGGGAAGAACCGGAAGUGCUUCUGACCUGGGACUGUUUUCAACAUGUCUUUCUGUACCAAAUCUGUACUUGCUACGUCUUUUACCCGGUGGUCUAUUGCUGUGCUGGGUGCCCUGAACUGUGUCCACGCAGUCCUCUUUAGAGAGAAUCUCUUGUGUUCUGUGUGGAAGCUUCACCUGUCAAUAAAAAGCCGAUGGCCUUCAGCUGACGCAGGAAAUAGGAGGCGGGAGUUUCCAUAAGGAGAAAGGAACCCUGGGAUAGAGUCAGGCCCAGGAACAGCGAGUCAGGGAACAAGCCCAAACUUCUGGCCUAGGCAUUUGUUUGUAAAUAUAGAGUCUCAGGGUCGUUAUUUUGAGAACUGGGGCACGGGUUGAAAAGCCCAUGGCUAUAAUCCCCCUGCCUCAGCUGCAUCUUCAGCCAUUUCUUCAGCACUCAUACUGAAAAGGGCAGAACUGGGCUGCACCGCAAUUACCAGAAACUCAGGCUUAUUCUGUGCCGCGUGGCAUCUGUACCAGGUGAUGGUGUACACAUUCUUCUGAGCAGAACAAACCCAAGGAGCAAGGAUGAGUAUACAGAGCCAGCCACAGAAGCUUGCCUGCCCAGUAACAAAAGCUAGUAACAACCAUACGAUGGAGAAAGUACCAAACCCCAGGAAACCACGGUCACCCUGCAUCAUCCUUGAUUUGGAAUACUAUACAGCCUUGAAAACUUACUUGAGACACUUGAUCUAGAAUACUAUACAGCCUUGAAAAUUUAACUUGAGACAGAAUCUUAUGUAUCUCAGGCUGCCUUGAACUCUCUCCUUGGUUGAGGAUAAUACUCCUGCCUUCACCCUCCAAGUGCUGGGACUACAAGCACACAUCUCCACACCUGGCUUGUGUACUUCUGGGGAUGGAACCCAGUGCCUCCUGCAUGCUAAGCAAGCACUCUACGAACUGAGAGACCUCUCCAGCCCUUGAAAAACUAUUCUAAAGUAUCAAGAGUCAAUAUUUAAUGUUCCCAGUGUGCCAAGGGGACAGUCCAACUAGCCAAGAGGAUAAUGCACAUAAGUGCACAGAAAAAAAGCGUGACGGAGCUCAUGGUGCUGGGACUUGAGACUUGUCUUUAGCCUCCCUGUGUUUCCCAGUUUCUCUCCGUACAGUGCGUAGGCAUCAGCCGUGAUGACAUUUCCUGGCACCUGGCACCUGGCAUAUGGGACAGCAGACGCUCACAAAAAUAUUAAUAAGUCAUCCUUGGCUCAGUGCCAUUGUCUGGGCACACGUAGUCUUGUAAAGGACAUGCCUCCCUUCCUUUUCUCUCUCCCACUUUGAGACAGGCUCUCAGGAAACCCAGGCUAGCCCCCAACUCACUUACAUAGCCAAAGAUGACCUAGAACCCCCAUCUGUACCUGAGAGCAGGGAUUACAGGCAUGAGCUGCCAAGCCUGUUAAUGCUGUGCUGGGCACUGAACUCAGAGCUUCAUGCAUGCUAGGGAAAUGCUCUCCAACGGACCUAUAGCCCCAGCUCUUCAUCCUGGACUAUUUGAGACAGGGUUGUAACAGUAACUUGUAUUCGCUAGAUGUAAUCUUCACCUCGAAGACUUGCUGCUGAAUAAGCUCACCCUUUCUAGUUCUUUCUGAACUCUGGUUGGCUGGUUAAACUCAGCCGCUCUGGCUCAAAACUCCUCUCCAAGCUGAUGAACUCAACCUAGCUUCUCUCUGCUUGGCCUCAAACAAGUCUGGCAAUCUGUUCUGAACUUCUGGCUCCUCCUCAGUGUCUGGCUCAUUCUUUACCUACAACCUGUCAGUGUAAAACUGUCUCAGGAAAACUGCCUCCUCUUCCCCCAAUGCCUGCUCCUCUCUCCUCUUUCUUCUCCUUCUCCUCCUCCCCCCCUCCUUCUCCUCCUCCUCUUCUCCUCUUCUCCUCUUCUCCUUUCUCUCUCUCUUUCUCUCUCUCUCUCGCUCUCGCUCUCGCUCUCGCUCUCGCUCUCACUUUUCAGUAGCCUCUCUUUCCUGUGCCCUUCUCAUGAGAGUUGGGUGUAUUCUGACUCAUCCUGUCAAAUCUUUCUCCAAUUCAUCACUUUGCCUCUCAAUCAGACAUUACUUUCAAACAUGCAUGCUGGCUGCUUCCUUCUACAAACUAACUUUACCUUCACUGUUUGGGAUUAAAGGUGUGUGCACGUCUGUAUUCCAGCCAGAGGGGUUAAAGCCGUGUCUGUAUUCUAGUCAAAGGGAUUAAAGCUAUGUACUAAGGGUGUGUCUGUACUCCAGCCUGAACACACAGACCUAGGCUGCCUUUGGGUGUGAUCCCUGGCCAGAGCAGCCAAAUUGCUGGAUUAAAAUCCCUCUACACUGGGGCUAGGGAGAUGGCUCAGUGGUUAGAGCACCGACUGCUCUUCCAGAGGUCCUGAGUUCAAAUCCCAGCAACCACAUGGUGGCUCACAACCAUCUGUAAUGGGAUCUGAUCCCCUCUUCUGGUGUGUCUGCAGACAGCUACAGUGUACUCAUAUACAUAACAAAUAAAUAAAUAAAUAAAUAAAUAAAUCCCUCUACACAGGGUCUCACUAUGUAACUCAUACCACGCUGGCCACAAACUCACAGAGAUCCACCUGCCUCUGCCUCCCAAGGGCUGGGUUCAAAGGUGUGGCCACCAUGCUUGUGGUAAAUCGUGCUUCCUAGAGUUUCUAAUAACAGCUGACCCACGUGCGGGUGAAAUUAAUUUUAGGAUUACAUUUUCUUUAGUUCACGAUAUCUGAAAUACUACCAAGUCGACAUGUGACCCACAUAACGUAAUAACAAGGCCUCAGGAGGCCAUGUGCAUUCUGCUCCUCACAAGAGUGAUGGGAAAGGUAUUUCCAGCUCUGGGGGUGGGGUGGGAGGGAUCAUUUGAUGGGGAUCCCUGCAGCCUGAGACAUGAGGGCAUGGGGGUGGGGAGAUGGCAGGGGGAGUUUUGCUGGCUUCAUCCAUUAGAUAAGUUUUAGAACCUUCACCUUCAGGGAAGGUAGGAUUCCUGGCAAGACCUGUAUAGAACCAGAAAGGGCCAGGAACUGUGGGAGCAGCAGGUGCAGCGGACCCAGAGAGAAGCAAAGGGCCAAACACUGAGAGGCAAGUCAGCCAGAGGGGCCUGACCCUGCUCUCCUCAGAGGCUCCCUAAGCUUCCCUACCUCCCGCUGUGCCCAGCAGCCACACCACCUAUAUAUGGAUGUUUGACACCGAGGGGGGACUCUCAGGGUACGAGGAGCUGUGUGAUUCAGUAUCUCAUAGACAGGCUAGGACUCUGCCCACACAGAACUCUCCAUGAACGUAGAGAUCAGCCCAGGCCCAGGCCAGCAGCAAGGAGAGGCAGCUCUGAGCCCCUUCCUUAAGCAGGCUCCGUUCUGCCGAUCUGCCUGCCGCCGCCUCCUCUGAGAAAACAAUAACACCUCCCACCUCCUGGGAAGUGGCUCCGUGGUGACAUGCCCUCUCAGUCACAAACACUAUUCACAGCUCUCCAAGGUGGCAACAGCCUUGUCUCCUGUGGAUGACUGCAUGAAAGGAGAAAUGCAUUGGGCUGUUCACAGUCAAGAGAGGCCAUGGGGACCCUCACUGGCACACAGAGCAUUGACAACAUCAUAGCCAGCACCAAAGCCACCUGGUCCACACCCGGUCUACAUGUCAAGUGAUGUACCAGGUGACUCCAUGGGAAUGGAGCAGGACUCUUGCUGGGCAAGGGGCAGGAGGAGAGGAUAAAGAUGGGUAAUGGGUGGGUACAGAGUUUAAUUGGUGGUGGUGGUGGGGUGAUGGAAUGUUCUGGAAACCGAGAUGGUAGUUUAGAACACUGAAUGCAUUGAAUUCUGUUCACAGUA